GGGUGUAGUUCUCCCCCCUCCAUUUGGUCCCAGACCUGAACGAACGAUGUGAAAGCUUCUUCAUUGGAAAACCUAAUGGUGUCUGUGUUUCGCGUAGAACAGGUGGAGGUUCGGAGCGGCUCCCCGCAGGGCCCACCCCCCCCCCGACCGCGGCCCCCCGACCGCGGCCCCCGAAAACGUCUUUCAAGUGUCUCCAGUAAUUGCUACUGGAUUCACACGGAGGAGAACAGCAGACGCUUGUGAGGCUUGAAAGGCACCUGCUGUCUUCUUUUCACAGCCUUAAUGUCCUGAAUUCCCCGUCCACACACAGAGAGACACGAUGUCUCCGUCCCUUUAGUUUCUGACACGUAUAGAAGAUAUUUGACGGAUACCACAUGUGACCUUUGAGCAAAUAACUGUUCAAUGAACCUUAAUGGAGGGAAAGGAUUUGAAAUGAUUCCUAUAUAUCGGUUAUUGGCCGGUCCUUUCAAAGUAAGACUUAGUUUUAUAGUCAGAGUAUCGAGGUAAUUAUUCAUUAAACCAGCUUUAACAGCUGAUGAGGUGAUUUACAGAUGAAAAGAAUUACAACAAACUGUAGCUUUAUUUUAAUUUUUCAAAAUAAAACUUCCAACUUAAUUAACUAUUAAAAAGAUAAUGUUAGAAAUUGUUGACGGAUACAUUUUCCUCUUGUGGGAGAAGUUUUAUCAAUCCUAGAAAUACACGAUAAGUCAACUUAAACAGUGAUAGACAGUAUUGACAAAAGUCGCUGAAUCACACAUGCAGAAAUAUAUAUAAAUAUAUAUAUGUAUAUAUAUAUAUAUAUAUACUUUCUAAUACAGAAUACAUGUACUUUUAUUUGGAGAGGAUCACGUUUUUGAACAGAAGGCAGAAUAAGUUUUUAAGCCAAUGACUCGCCGGCACACUUGGGCGGUGGGGAUGCAUCACACUCGCAUUAUUCUUAUAAACCCACCUUUUAAUAUUCAGCCAGCGUCCGAUCAGUAGCUGCUUGGAAAUAACUUUAUUCAGACUCCACCUGCUGUAUAAUUCUAAAUCUGAAAAGGCAAUUAACUCGGGGGCCAGCCUUGUUAUUUCCUGGCUGUCGAGGAGUAUUUCUGCAGAAUGGGAAGCCUGAUAUGAGGAGCAUACAGUAUAUAUUCAUAUACACACGCGUACACUGUAUAUAAAUAACAGCGUGUAUUUACUGCCUGUGACAAUCUGUGCUGGAUGAUUCAUUCAUUUUAUUUUUCAUGUUGGUCACUGAAGAGGAAAUUAUUAUUUCUCUUAUUUCUGUGACUUUGUUCCGUAAUUGUUUGCUUGAUUUUCGGGUGAAUUAUGAAAUCCUCUUUUUGAAAAUCCCUCCGUGAGUCCUCGAUGCCUUCCAGCUCGGCACCUCGCAGAGAUAAUAAUCUUAUCGUAGCAACACAAUCACUUUCUCACGAUAACGCGUUAAUUAUCUAGUAAACACAAUAUAGUUCCUGUCUGGCUUUCAAAUUAGCAGAAUAAUUAGCCAAACACCUCCAGAUAAAGGGUUUUGUUGUCUGUAGUGGAAUCACUUAAUAAAACACCGCGACCUCCUCGCUAGUGAAGCACCUGCUGAAUGAAUUAAAUCUGCAUUAAAACAAUUGAUUGAUCUGUAAAUCGAGGUGUAACAGCGGCAGAAAUAACAUCGCUGUUCAGUCUUCCUUAUUAAAAAAAGAUAUGAUGACAUCAUCAUAAUCAUUUCACUUGAUUUUUCCAUAUUCAACACAUUUCAAUUGCUCCUGAUACACGUAUGUGGAUCAUCAAAACUGAAUUAUUCUGGUGCACAGAUGCAGAUUAUUAGAUGCUGGUUCCAGGUUGGAGGGGAAAGUAGAAAUAAGGGAGUUGAAGGGAUGAGAAGUCUAUUUUCUUAUUUCAUCACACAAACACACACAUGUGCUCAUCGUCUUCAUUGAGCCUUUGCUGCUAAUUAAAAUGGCCGGAUGGUGAAGUCCAAAGACUUGAGCAAUAUUCAACCCCCGUAAAUAAGCUCAACCAUUAAAGUAAUGGAGGUCUAACAAGUGGAUUAUUACAUCUCACAGAGCUGUUAGAGACUGGAAACAUAUAAUAAAAAGGCCGGAUCUGCUGCUUAUGAGGAAAAAUAUCCUUCAAGCUCACCUCAGAUUUAGUUUGUGCGAAACAUAAAACAAAUGAGACGCAUUAAACAGAAUGUGUCCAAGCCAACGUUCACCUUGUGCUUUCAGAUGUGAAAGCGAGCUCGUCCUUCCCCCGUCUGAGUGCUUCUCCCCCGUCUGCAGAAUAACGGCACGGAGCGUCGACUCUUUGUUGAGUUCCUCCAGGCUGUGGACGCUCAGAUGGACGCGAGUCUCUGCCGGGGGGGUCCGCGUCCAUCCGAGCCCCCUCGUUGACCCGACAAGACGUGGUGGAAAGUGCAAAGUUUGAGCUCCGAGUCUCCAGCGUCCAUCGGGAAUCAGUGUUACGAAAAAAACAAAUGAUAGAGUGUCAAAUGCAGACCCGGAUUUAUUUAACACAAAGCUGCUUCAGUAGAUUAUGUAUAAAUAUUGAAUGUUUUGUUUGUUUAAGAGUCCAACCGGAUUUUUGAAAUGAUGUUUCGGACACAAAAUGAGGCGUUGAGAUUGUGACGAGUAAUAAAUCCUGUAUCAUGAGGAGAAAACCAGAGCUUGCUGCCUCUCUCUCUUCGUUGAAGGGCACAGUUGAUGAGCUGAUGUGGGGGGUGAUGGGGGGUUAUAAUCGAUCCCGAGCAAGAAACUGUUUGUUCCCCCCCCCCCCCCCCCAGAGUCCCAGUAACUCAUACAGGAGUAUGGAUCGCCUGCCACCGGUGAGAUCUGAGGCCUUCUCUCUGUCUUUGUAAGAAACAUAAACACUGAAACCGGGACAGCCGUGUUUUAAUCCGUCUCCGUCUCCGAUAAGAAUUGACUGUUUUGUGUCCACGUGUUCAUUUCUCACCCACAGCAGAGUCGAGAUUAGCAAGAUGGGAAGAAAUUAAAUAGUGGCCAUUACAAUGUGCAACAGAUAAGAGUGUGAACACUUAUUUCAUGUAGUAUAUUUCACAGGAUUUACCUGCAGUGUCAAAUGGGGACUUUGUCCCAAAACAUUAAGUCAUUAUUUUGUCUCAACUUUCCCUCAACUGAGUAGUUUUUUGGCCUAAAGUUGACCAAAGAGGAACUUUUAACUGGUUAUGAGACUAUGAGACUGUUAAGCGAUCUCCUGUUUGGUGGAGCAGAAGCGCCUCGUCUGAUGAAUUUAAUCUGCACACGUCCCCACAUCUCACAGUCGGUUUCAAAAUUCAUGCUCAUUAAAAGCAUAUCAGUCACAAAGACGUCAUGAAAUAACGCGUUGGGGUCCGUUCACAAACCGCUUCCCAACACUUGGUUCCAUUUCCUGCCCUUGGAGGCCGAUCGGCGUCUCGGUGAUGCUCCACGGGGCUUCGCUGGGUCGGCCGGCUUAAGAAGAUAUCGCAAACAGCGAGGGAGAAAAGAAGGAUUUGCUUUACAAUGGCACUGACUUUUAUUUUAUAUUUUCUUUCUUUUCAAAUAGUAAAAAGCCCCCCAGGAGCGAAAAAAGCCGAAGAUUACUCUCAACGUGCCUCGGCCCCCUCGUGCGUGAGCGGCCUCUGCAAGUUCCUCAGGAGGACAUGAGGCCCCCCGAGCCUCCGACAGGACACCCCCCCCCCUCAAAGGUCAAAGGUCAAUCAGUCCCCGUACUGGGAAACACCUCCUGGGGAGGGAAGGAAAAUCAACCCCCGGCCCGGUUGAUCCGCUUCUUCUGAUCGAGCUGAAACGCGUCUCAAAGACGCCACAGAUGCAGGAAACUGUGCUGCAGCUGUUUCGUGGGUAUAAAACAGCUGGAGUGAAUCUUAAAGGGGGCGGGUCACUCUUCCGUGUAUGUAAAUAUGUAAAUGAUGAUUUCAAAGAGAAAACACAAGCUUUUCUUGAAAAUGACACGGCUGUGAAUAAGAAUGAAGAACUGAGGAGCUUCUCAACAAGUCAAAAUGGCCUAAAUGCCGCUGAUGUGUCUCGUCUCCUUCCAGGUGUUUCUAGGAUCGAUUCCCACGACGUUCUAAUCUGCCUUUAAAUGAGCGAAUUAAGUCUUUUUCACGAGGGGAAGCGAGCUGCCCGCCAUUGCGCCCGACGUGCGUUUGAGGGCUGCAUAGUGAAACUAAUCACGUUACAGCGUCUGCAGUGUUUCUGCUCUCAUGAGCGCCGUGACCUUGAUUUCGCUGCGAGAGAGAGAGUUGCCCUGGUUACAAAGUCUGCUUUUUUUCUGCCCUUUUCUUUGUCCCUUUAUUUUAUCUACAAGUUGCAUGCGGUUCUCGUCACCGGGCAUCCUUAUCAACCGCUGUCCAGAGGCCCCCAACCCAGCGACCAUUCACGGCCCCCGGGAGCCAGCGCGCCGGAUGACUGCACGCGCACAACGAGAGACACACUCACACACACUCACUCACUCAGCUUGCACGGCGUUUGUGCGUAUGAGACGCCGAGGGGUUGAAAUAAGGUGGCGAGGAGAUGUGGCGUUCCGGAGGAUCCGACCAGUCUUGCGCCGUGACCCUUUUUUCAUCGUCGGCCGAGUCGCAGAGAGAAACAACACUCAUCGCCCGCGGCGACGGAACUGCAGCCGAGAGAUUAAACGUACCGUGGCUGCAACGAGAACGACAACGCCUUUUUCGCACAACUAUGAACACAACCUAGUGGGAUGCAAGUCGUGCAGAAGACUUGAGGGCCACAACUCACCCGUCAUUCGCGUAUCAAUCACUUAACGAAUGUGUCCUUGGUUGCUGGAGUUUGGCCUGAUAACGGCACCACAACUGACGCAACCAGAGACAAACAGGACUACUUCUGACCCCGGACGUGAACUUUGAACAUCAUGGACACAUCCACCUGAUUUAUUACAGAAGCAAACGCUGCCCCCCCCCGAGCUGCAGCGUGUAAACGUUCAUUAAUGUGCCGUUGUGGUGCGCAGCCCUCUCAGUGUGUAGCUGCUCCACGUGCACAACGCGCCUGCAGGGAACUAGCUGGUACCGUGGUGAUCACUCUAUAACCGAACUGCUCGAGCCUCGUUUCCAGGACAGUUUGCGCCACAUUUUAUCCAGAAGGGCCUCUGGCAGAAAGCAAAUGUGCCGCAUUCGCAUUUCUGGCUGAGAUCCUGAGACUGUGAGGGCAAAGUAUCAAUGAAAAACUUUAUAAAUGAGUUACUUUACGCUUUCUUUAUGCUCUCAAUCUAGAAUGUAAAUAGCUGACGCCUUACAAGAUGAUAGCAACACAAAAACAAAUGUCAAUAUAAAGUAAAAGAAUAUUAUAUGAGUUUAAACAACGCUAGAAAAUGAUCUAUGAUUAGUGAAGUUUACAGUAUGAAUAAUUUCCAGUGAGAGUAUAUCACAUUUUUCUUUAUAUUAUCGUAAUGUGAUAUAUUAGCAUAUUGUAUCCUCUGAUUUGAAUAACUUUGUUGGUGUUUGCAAAUGGAAAGUGGUGUUCAGACCCUAAUUUCACAAACAUGAUUACGCUUUGAAGGUAGACGCGGUGAAGGCGUCUGCAUCUGUCCAGUGUUAAAACAACAAUCAUGUUUCCGUUAAGGGUUUAUUGCAUUAAUUCCCCCUCUACAUUGUACAGGAAGUUAAUCUAAAUCAAGGAACGCGGACUUAAAAUCCAAUAAAUAUUACAGCAGCUUUGAAUGCGUUGAAAUCCUCAGACUGGCUGAUUGAGUUUGAGAGCUUCUUUCAUCUCCAUUAUAAAUACAUGUGAGUACAAAUGAGUUUUAUUUUCACUCUUUGAUUGGACAUCAGAUGUCCCAGUUGCACCAACGAGGAACAUUGAUCUUGUCCUUUGAGAGCCUGUUGGUUUAAAAACGUCUCUUUGGAUCCUGAUAAGAUAUGUGAGGAAAAGAGGAAAACAACAUGCAGCCCUGGAGGCUGCGAUCUAAAGAAGCUAAAACACAUAUUAACAAAUGCAGGAACAGCGCGGCAAACGCCUGCAGUCUGUGCCGCCGCCGCGCGAUACAUGACAGCACAGCUUGAACUCUGGCUGCACGAAAGGACCUUCAUGUGACGCCCCGGCAGGAAACAGGGGUCACUGAGGGGUCACUGAGAGGUCACUGAGAGGUGUUAACGUGGCCUCGGGGCUUUUUUCUUCUUAAUCACAGCAACUGUGAUUAGGUGGUCCCUGUGGGAGAAAUUUUAUUUUCUAAAAGAACCUUUUUAACUCUCGGAACUAAAGAGAAGUCAACGGGUCACUCAGAACGACAUCUCGACUCCGACUGCAGGCUUUUUAGUCGUUCAAAACCUUGAAUUUGUCCCUUUUCCGUUUUUUCAGAGAAAAGUCAGCGUGGGUGGAAACAAAAAACUUGUGUCGGGACGGAAGAGACACUUUCUUCUUUCCCCGCGUGGUGGCGUGCGAGGCCUCGGGACGGAUGGUUGACAUCGUGAGCAUCGUUCACUUCUCUACUGGACAUAUUUUUUUCAGGAAAUGGUGCUUCAGUUGAAAUUGAAAAUGGAUCAGUUCCCCCCAAAAGAUGUUUGGAUUUUGUUUUUUUUCUUUGUGAGAUACGACGGGGAAUGUGAUCUAAAAGGUAUUUGUUUCCUCUCGACGUCGAUGGUGAUGGACUUUUGCAGGAAAACCUCCUUUGAAGAACUUUAAGUUCUCACGCUUUGCUUUCUUGACAAUCAGCUGAAGAUACAACCAGGCCAAAGGAACUAAAAGCUCCCUCAUGACUGAGAAGAAAACCUCUCUUAUCAGAAAUCAGGAACAUUUACUGCCAAACUCUGGACAAUAAGUAAAUAAGACAUCGGACAACGAGACAAGCCGAGUGCAGGAAAUGCGGCGUAAAUGCACUUUGCACCACUCUCUGCAGCGCCGUCUCCUCCUCCGUUCCCGACUGAUUGAUGCGCUCACAUUCCCCUCGACUAGCAUUUCUUUUGCAUGCGCCCGCUAGAGAUGAAUCUCACUUUGGGCGGGAGGGGUGAGGGGGGUGAGUCCUGAUGAAUGGUGGAGGUGAUGGCGGCUGACAGCCGGAGUGGCCCCGGCGCCGAGAUGACUCAGGGAACCCGCCGCUCUCGUCCCCAAUGAUGACAUUUGAUUUUUUCCUCUUUUUUUAUUUUUUUAGCUGGCACCUUUUCUUGCAGCACAGAGGCUUCAAUCGAUAGCUGCCCCUCGCUCUCGUACCCUCCCCUUCCCCCCCCACCUUCACCCCCCCCGUGUGCUUUCACCACGGCGCUCUUUUCUCAGUGUCGCGUGUCCUCGCCUCUCCUUCCUCCUCGCUCCAUCGUCCUCCACUCUCAGCCGCGCAUAUCUGUGGAUAACUAAUGAUAAUGGACUCUGCUCCCCGAUGUGAGGAACCCCUGCAAUCAGCCCGUGCGCGUGACGCACGCGUUGACGGCCUUAAAUUUUCUCAGGCUUCAACGCCACCUAAAGGUCAUCAACAGCGAGGUGACGGAGAACACGAAUAAACCACCGGGCCCAGCGAAGAGGCGGUGAUUCAUUCGGGCAGCAGCGGGAAACUGCGACCGGAAAACGAACAGAAACGCACAACGUCUCCCUUUCUCUUUCGUGAUCUUACCAGGAAAAGUGCGCGUUCUGUCACCAAUGUGGAACUAAAUCGGCGACACAUUUCGGUGUGAUCUCCCCCUCAAAGGCCUCAUCCAUCCACGUGUCUCGUGCCGACGACUUGAGCGGUGACUCACGCAGUGCUGCGGGGACGGCGUGCCAACUCAUCAGGCGCUUCCAGGGGCGGGAUUCAUCUCUCGAAGCUCAUUAUGACGCAGUGAACAAAAGCGCGCCGCGGUGACCACACGUGGUAAAUGCAUCGUGACCUCGCGUUCGUGUUGAGCAAAUGGCGCCGCGCGGACAAGCGUAUCAAACAAAGAAGCCCUCGGCUACCACAAAAGGAAAGAAGCUUUCAUUAAAAGUGAAUAAAAUCCUCAGACUGAAUGAGACACUUGUGUUUCACUGCUGUUGUUGUGCAUUUUCACGUAAAUCAUUUUGAGUGGCCUCCUCAUGAAAAGUUCCUGCACCUUUAGUGGAGGUUCAGGAGUUGGUGUCUUGCUCGUCUUUGGUUCUCCUAUUGGUGGUGAGAUAAGUGUCUCCUCAAAGGAAGAGUCAACAAUCCAGCGUCUCUCAAUUUGCUCUGAUCUUCUGGAUCUUCUUACCUGAGAGGAAGUGUGAGAGCUUUCCUCUCGACGGCCUUCUUUCUCUCCUCCUCCCCUCCGUCACGAAUCCACAAUCUCCAAUUUUGUCUUUAAUCUCGGUGUUUAUCGCUCUCUCUCGGGGGGAGUCACGGCAGCUAAUCAGAGGCAUCUGCUCCUGCGCGGUUCCAGCAUCCCGUCACCACAAGCCCAACCCGCAGAAGAAGCACAACACGGAGCCACCAUGAGGCCCUUUGGGCCUUUUCCUCUUCGCCUCCUCCAUCGCUCCACUGCCCGGGCCAUCCGCCCGGACACAAAGCCAGAGGCCUCAGGCGGGACGUCGUUUCUCGCCGUGACAAGAGGAGAACACGUCCUGCUACUGAUGGACGGCUCGGUGAAGCUGUUGUCACCGUUUGGGAUUCGGCCGUCUGCAAUUGAGGGAUGAAGGAGAAGAGCGCCGACAAAACGAGACUCUGUGAGCAGCUGUGAGACAAACCUCCCCGAGACUCCGGGUGUUGCUGUUUAUAAUUCAACUUCAGUCACACACACUUAAGCAAAGCAUUUGGGCGUUUAUUGUCACACUUAGUGGAGCUUCACGUUCCGCCGGGAGAACAAAUCCCAGAGCAUAAAUCACACGAAGAGGCGUUCCCGGGGAGCCGUCCAGGAGACUGGAGUCAAAAUGUAACUGUGAACGUGGUUGGAGGUGACAUUGGAACGUUAACCAAGUCUUCUUCUUGAUGUUCUGUGAAAGAACAGAAGUGUUCCUUCAGGCUGAAGGAUCACGGAGAGAGGACGGAGAUUACGUGAUUUCAAGACCGAAAACUGAGACAAUCGUACGAGGUGAUCAAUCUAGUGGGGUCAUUUUACCAGAGAUUCAUGUACACUUCCAUCCCCAUCGCCCCACUUACAGACAGAAAAUCCAUCGACAACAAUUCUACGAAUAAAGUAACUGCCGAACAUUUGCUGGUCCCAGAUUCUCAAAUGAGGAAAAAGCUAUUUAAUUGACAAAUGUUUUUAGAAUACCCACCAUUACCCAACAGAGCAUAAAACAUAAAACUGUUAGAAGACGUAUAUCUGGACAUAUUUAUUUUAUCUCAGGGUGUGUGAGAGCCUCGUGGUAAUAUCCACCAAUCUCCACCUCACCUUCAAAACGUCACCUGGUCUGAGUGCCGCAGGAUAUCGCUCCGUUUUUAAAAAAGUAAAUAAAGCGACAGAUUUGAAUUUAAUGACCUAAUAAUUCAUUAAAUCUUUCUGCGGUGUCAAAUCCCAGAGCCGAGGCGGCGGGGAGCCGGGGAACAGCGUCCGCCCUGCAGUUUGAAUGUUUGUUAUCUGCUAGGAAACCAAUUACGCCUGACAGAGUUUCAGCCGGGCUGAGGCACAAUGCCGCUGCUCGACGUGCAUUUUGAUGUGCGGCAUCCGGACCGUUUCCUGCACCUCAGUCGACGUUUCCCAAAGUCGGGAUAGUGGAUGAAAUGUUAGAAUUAUCUUUUUGAAAUGCAGAAAAGUGUUUGCACUGGAGAACGAUGGACGAGAGAGUUAUCUCUCGCUUACAAUGUGUUGAUAGGUCGGAUUUUUGUAUUUGGCUUCACUAUCUCUUCAGUGUUUUGGCUUUGGUUUAUUUUAAUAUGUAUUUGAAAUAUACCCAAGUAAAUAGAAGGCGGGUGUUGAUUGGGGAACAGAAGAGGAACUGAGGCCGUUGUUUUAUGUGGUGAACCAUCAGUAAUCGGACACGUGACUAAACUUCAUUUUUCAUUUAAAUGGUUUAUAGCAUUAAUUCAUAUCAUAGACAAUAUAUUAUCAAUAGCGUUUGGCCACGUAUUGUAUGUCCUUGUUGUUUCUUUGGUUGCAGCAUCCUUUGCCCAGAUGUUGAAUCACGGCGACACGCCGAUUUAUGUUUGACGCCGACGUUUAUUGCCGAUUCAGGAGGUCGUGUGUCCUGCAGAGUGUGCAGCGGAGCACAACGUAGAGGUGGACGGAUGUGUGUUCACAGACCUUCAAUGACUUUUUAGGUUGACCUUUACCUCGACCCAUCCUUCACCUCGCUCAAACGCUGCAGUCGGCUAAACACAACCAGCCUUUAGGCUCCCUCAGUGAAUGUGGGUCUGCAACGGAAUAAAGAGACGCCAGUGACGGAUGCUGAGAUGCUUUUUAGGGUAAAAAACAAUCAGAUGUCUCAUCACGGCAAAGGCAACUGUGUGAGUGAAAGUCCCGUCCUGCAAAGUUCCCCUGUAGCUUUGCCGAGCAGCCUGGUGGCCGUGACGACCUGUAGCACAUUGCAUGAGGAUGAGGAGGACUCUGUUGGAGUAAAGAACAAGGAGGCGAUUUAAAGUGGACACCUUCAGCUUCACAUUGGUAGAUUAUGGUUUCAUACUGAUAAACUUUACCUUUCUAUUGGUAGAUUAUGGUUUCAUACUGAUAAACUUUACCUUUCUAUUGGUAGAUUAUGGUUUCAUACUGAUAAACUUUACCUUUCUAUUGGUAGAUUAUGGUUUCAUACUGAUGACAUUAGUCUUUAAGCGGUUUAGACCUGAAUGAGCUCCUGAGAGCAGCAGUGGCUCAAUCAUCUUGAUUUUAAUUCUGCAAACUAGUAAAGCAGUUUAUUCGAUUAAGAGACACUCAGUGGAACAUUGUUCUUGACGGUGGUUGUCACACGAACAUCUACGUUAUCGACGUGAAGUGAGUCAAAUGCUGAAGAGCAAAGUGGGAAACGCUCUCCUCGGAGCUGAAGGUCAGACCCAUCCGUCUUGUCUUGUGAUUUAAAUGAAGUCAAAUGACUCCGUGCUGCCGUGGUCCCCGUCAAGGACGAGCCGGUGGUUAUGAUCUGCCCUUCUCCUCCUCCUCCUCCUCCACCAUCUCUUUCGGCCUGUGCAGUAGAUCAUUAAUCUGAGCGUGUGCGCUUUUGACUGAGCUGCAAAUAGGCCCUAACGGCCUCCCUCUAGUUCCUGCCACCGCAGAUAACUGUCACGCCGAGGAUUGAAGCGCAGAGUCAUGCGCCCCCCCCUCCCUCCCGGGGGGGCGCCCCCGAGCUGCCCGUCUCCUCCAUCACUGCCACUGACCCUCUAGUAAGCCCGACCCCGCCCAGUGGAUGGAGCUGAGGCGGUGUCCUUGCCAGGAGGCGGUUGGAGGAGCAAAGCUUCGUUGGUUGGUUUCUUUUUGGGCUCCAGGAAACGAUCCCAAAACGUUUGUCUGGCUUUGUAUGUUUUUUUAUUGGACUCCAGUUGAUCUGAAGGGGGAGACGCUCCUCAAAUCUUCACUCGAAGUCUUCUCGCGGGCUUUUCUCCCGCUGACUAACUCGAACCAUCCUAAUUAACAGGCUACUCGAGAAGUUUGUCAUCACCGAGCCUCGCGCUUCAUCAUUUCUCUCCCUCAGAAAUGUGCGCGUGCUUUUUGGAGUGUGAAAUCGCCCGAAUGAAUUGACUCUCAUUUUUUUUUAUUUUCCCAACGUAAUCGGCGGAUAAUGGGCUCAGAGCUGAAGGCGUGGAUGCUAAUUUCAACAUCAAUUAUUGCCAUUCAGGGAGAACCCGAUAAUUGAUAGCAGCUACACGAACACAACCAACCAUAUUGCUUUCAUUUUCAGAGUAAUUAAGGGCUCGCCGAUCUCAUCAGGAAUCUCAAUCAGGAAUCCUUGCAUUUAUAAACCAAAGCUGUGCUCUUGAAUGUAUUUACACGACGCUCUCCUGCUUGUUGGUAAAUGCAGAGCGACGGGACUCACUUGACAGCAAAGGGAAGUCUUUUAUUAUGAAGUACGAGGCAAAUGUGACCGAAUCAAGGAAAUGCAUUUUGAUCAUUAAGCAGGAUUCACAAAUACAUUAUUUUCACCCUGCGCUGGAGGAUGGACGAGCAUUGAAACAUCGGCUCUUCCACGACAGAUUUUGAUCAAUUAUUUUCUAAACUUAUGGACCUUUAGUGUUUACACUGAUACUAGUUGCACAUUUACUAAUUAUAGAAGACAUGAACUAUUUCUAAUUGAUGGAAAAAGAUCAAAUGCAUAAUGUGUCUUCACAGCUUGUACGACUUUAAUGAGCUUUAAAGUGAUUGACACGUUGUUAUUGGACAAAUUCUGCAUUAUUUGUUUACAUUUCUUUUACUUUUUGUACCUUGCCAAUCCAUUCGUACUGUUACUUAAGUAAAGUAAAACUUAAUGCUCGGUUCACCCUGAAAACUGAUUAUUUCUUAAUUUUAGUCUUGCUUCAUUCAUCAUAAUGUGGAGAGCGCGCAGGCAACAUCUAGCGUUGUGCUUGCAGGUUACAUACCUCGACCACUCCUCCCUUUCUGCGUUAAAGUUGAGCCUCUUCAGAAAAAUGACACCAUUUAGAAAAGAUGAAAACCUCUUUAAUACCAAUUAACGAAGAGAAAAUUACCAGCGUCCCUUCCUGCUUGGAAGGCUGCUUGUUUUCUUGGAUCUGUUUCAAAGUCACGGGGCAGGAGCCCUGAAGGACACGUUUAACACCGAGGAAGAAGAACGGGCGUCUCUGGUGCAUUGACUAACUGGGUGAUGAAUGAAUUACGCUGCCUAAAUUUAGCCGGGCGCUCUACCUUGAAAUCGCAGCUGGGUUUCCAUCUUGGAGGUGCAGACGGGCCGCGUAUGGCGCCAUAAGCCGCGACCUUCUUUGUUUUUUUCCGCAAAAAAAAAGAGAAAGAUUGAUGUCCGACCAAACGUAUCACAGCUGCCAGAAUGACGUAGUGAGAUGGCGUGUUGUGAGAUGGCGUGUUGUGAGACGGCGUGUUGCUCACACAUUAGUCCGACUGGUCGGGGUCGGUUUGUCUGAGAGGGGCUCGAUAAUGUGUGCAAAUAAGAGUUUGAGCCACUCAAACAUUUCUCUCCGGCUUUGAUGCUUUGGGGAUGUUUGUUUCUAACUGACCUCAUUUUUGUUCAUUUGUGGCAACAUUUAAAAUUGGCUACAUUUAGUUAUUGUUCACAUUAUGGAAAGUUCCUGAACAGCAUUUCAAAUAACGGCUUUACUUUCAAAAUAAUUUUGUUGUGGGAACCUAAACGUUUUGUUGUAUUUAUCAGGUAUCCUGCUCACGUGGCACAAAGUAUUAGCUUUCCAUAAUGUAUCCAGAGAAGCUGGUUUUUCAUUGGAACCUUCAUACACGUUUACUCUCUUAAAUCCGUCCCAUUAAACCUCAAAUCCCCGGAGGCAAACCGUUUGGGUGAUUGACAGCACAGAAGCGUGCUGACGAGUCAUCUUUUGAAUCAAGGGAGGAUUUAAUUAAUACUGAAACAACCUGAUGAGGACGACCCACCGCUCAUGCAGAGAGGGGACCUGCAGCACCACUUAAUUUCCACUGCAAAUUGGCACUUAACAGGAGCUGAAGGCGUUUGAGGACAUCCACACUCGAAAGAGAAAAAUUAAAUUUCACUUUGAUGGUCGGCUCCGCCCAACAUGACGGAGAGGAGACCCCAAAAGCUUUUAUCCAUUGCGAUGGUUUCCAGUUCAAGCUGACGAAAAGGUCCCUGGAGUUGUGUGUCAAAAAGGAAAGAGAUGUUGGCGGUUUCUUAUUAUUAAACACCAGGACAUGGG
Gasterosteus aculeatus aculeatus (three-spined stickleback) is the source of this 13617-nucleotide long non-coding RNA. NCBI's taxonomy places the organism in Eukaryota, Metazoa, Chordata, Actinopteri, Perciformes, Gasterosteidae. The record is from Ensembl.